This 191-nucleotide ribosomal RNA is filed under the name uncultured bacterium. RNAcentral describes it as "partial 16S ribosomal RNA". It matches the Rfam family "Bacterial small subunit ribosomal RNA", at positions 1311 to 1500 of the family's 1533-position model. The record is from RNAcentral.
CCCGACUACAUGAAGCUGGAAUCGCUAGUAAUCGCGGAUCAGAAUGCCGCGGUGAAUACGUUCCCGGGUCUUGUACACACCGCCCGUCACACCAUGGGAGUCGGAAAUGCCCGAAGCCGGUGACCUAACCUUUCAGGAAGGAGCCGUCGAAGGCAGGUCUGAUAACUGGGGUGAAGUCGUAACAAGGUAUC